Molecule: ribosomal RNA, 769 nt
Filed under: Trypanosomatidae sp. Kn01
Lineage: Eukaryota; Euglenozoa; Kinetoplastea; Trypanosomatida; Trypanosomatidae
Description: SSU rRNA
Rfam family: Eukaryotic small subunit ribosomal RNA
Source: RNAcentral
CAUAUGCUUGUUUCAAGGACUUAGCCAUGCAUGCCUCAGAAUCACUGCACUUGCAGGAAUCUGCGCAUGGCUCAUUACAUCAGACGUAAUCUGCCGCAAAAACCUUGCGGUUUCCGCAACAAUGGAUAACUUGGCGAAACGCCAAGCUAAUACAUGAACCAACCGGGCGUCCUCCAGACUGUGAGGCGCCUAGCGAAUGAAUGCUAGUAAAACCAAUGCCUUCGGUGGCAGUAACACCCAGAAGUGUUGACUCAAUUCAUUCCGUGCGAAAGCCGGGUGACCCGGCGUCUUUUGACGAACAACUGCCCUAUCAGCUAGUGAUGGCCGUGUAGUGGACUGCCAUGGCGUUGACGGGAGCGGGGGAUUAGGGUUCGAUUCCGGAGAGGGAGCCUGAGAAAUAGCUACCACUUCUACGGAGGGCAGCAGGCGCGCAAAUUGCCCAAUGUCAAGACAAAACGAUGAGGCAGCGAAAAGAAAUAGAGAUGUCAGUCCACUUUGGAUUGUCACUUCAAUGGGGGAUAUUUAAACCCAUCCAAAAUCGAGUAACAAUUGGAGGACAAGUCUGGUGCCAGCACCCGCGGUAAUUCCAGCUCCAAGAGCGUAUAUUAAUGCUGUUGCUGUUAAAGGGUUCGUAGUUGAACUGGGGGCCGUGCAGGGUGUAUUUCUGGGAAGUCCCGUCCACGUCGGAUCGGUUGGCCCCGGACCCUUGCGGCUCGUGAACACACAUUCGACACAAGAAACACGGGAGUGGUUCCUUUCCUGAUUCACG